RNAcentral lists this ribosomal RNA (468 nucleotides) under uncultured bacterium. RNAcentral's name for it is "partial 16S ribosomal RNA". It matches the Rfam family "Bacterial small subunit ribosomal RNA", at positions 28 to 507 of the family's 1533-position model. The record is from RNAcentral.
GACGAACGCUGGCGGCGUGCUUAACACAUGCAAGUCGAACGGAAAGGCCCUGCUUUUGUGGGGUGCUCGAGUGGCGAACGGGUGAGUAACACGUGAGUAACCUGCCCUUGACUUUGGGAUAACUUCAGGAAACUGGGGCUAAUACCGGAUAGGAGCUCCUGCUGCAUGGUGGGGGUUGGAAAGUUUCGGCGGUUGGGGAUGGACUCGCGGCUUAUCAGCUUGUUGGUGGGGUAGUGGCUUACCAAGGCUUUGACGGGUAGCCGGCCUGAGAGGGUGACCGGCCACAUUGGGACUGAGAUACGGCCCAGACUCCUACGGGAGGCAGCAGUGGGGAAUAUUGCACAAUGGGCGGAAGCCUGAUGCAGCAACGCCGCGUGCGGGAUGACGGCCUUCGGGCUGUAAACCGCUUUCGCCUGUGACGAAGCGUGAGUGACGGUAAUGGGUAAAGAAGCACCGGCUAACUAUGUG